Anas platyrhynchos (mallard) is the source of this 753-nucleotide non-coding RNA. Lineage: Eukaryota; Metazoa; Chordata; Aves; Anseriformes; Anatidae. The record is from RefSeq and is a predicted model, not a curated record.
UCCUCUUCAUGGGUUCCUCAUGCCACACCUGAAUUCCCUGCCACCAGCUGAAUGCCACUGGAGGUUAUUACAGAGGGGUUAAUCUCUGAGCUUAAUUAGUCCAGUACACAACAAUCAGGGAGCUAAUCAAUACGUAGAGAUGUGUCACUCCUUCCUUAUAGCACGCCACUGUUGGCAGGAAGUAAAAAAUUACCCCACAGGUAAAACCAGCAAAGCUUCUGCCUUCAACUGGCCGACAGAAAAACCAGAAGCUGCACUCAGCGUCACUCGAACUAACACCCCGAAAUGGGACGGCGACCUCGCCUGGGCUCUGGGAACCUUUGAACUUCUCCGAGCAGAGCCGUAAAGCUCCCAGCAGGAGGUCAGGGCUUCCUGCUCGCCGUGCAGCGAGAGCAGCGUGCGAGGAGGCCGCCGCGUCCCACACGGCAGCAGCAGGAAGUCACGGAGGCCUCCGCCAACAGCACGUUCACCAGGCCGGGUAAAACCCUCACGAGCUGCUGGGCCGAGCUCGGUCAAAGUGCAUAGCAUUUUGGUAAUCCAGGAACUGCCGGAGCAUUUGGGCUUUGAAAAUACCUUUGAGACAAACAUCACCGAGAGCUGCUGAGAGGAUCAGCUCAAAACACUGCUGUUUGCUUUGCUACAGCCCUGCCGGCACACUGCUCUGAGGGGAACACACCUUCAGGAUUCAGGGACGUACAGCACAAAGAAGGAGCGUUCCUAUGGCCAAAGGAUGCAGAUUUUAAACAUGGCUUG